UCUUGGUCAUUUAGAGGAAGUAAAAGUCGUAANAAGGUUUCCGUAGGUGAACCUGCGGAAGGAUCAUUAAAGAAAUUUAAUAAUUUUGAAAAUGGAUUUUUUUGUUUUGGCAAGAGCAUGAGAGCUUUUACUGGGCAAGAAGACAAGAGAUGGAGAGUCCAGCCGGGCCUGCGCUUAAGUGCGCGGUCUUGCUAGGCUUGUAAGUUUCUUUCUUGCUAUUCCAAACGGUGAGAGAUUUCUGUGCUUUUGUUAUAGGACAAUUAAAACCGUUUCGAUACAACACACUGUGGAGUUUUCAUAUCUUUGCAACUUUUUCUUUGGGCAUUCGAGCAAUCGGGGCCCAGAGGUAACAAACACAAACAAUUUUAUCUAUUCAUUAAAUUUUUGUCAAAAACAAGAAUUUUCGUAACUGGAAAUUUUAAAAUACUAAAAACUUUCAACAACGGAUCUCUUGGUUCUCGCAUCGAUGAAGAACGCAGCGAAAUGCGAUACGUAAUGUGAAUUGCAGAAUUCCGUGAAUCAUCGAAUCUUUGAACGCACAUUGCGCCCCUUGGUAUUCCAGGGGGCAUGCCUGUUUGAGCGUCAUUUCCUUCUCAAACAUUCUGUUUGGUAGUGAGUGAUACUCUUUGGAGUUAACUUGAAAUUGCUGGCCUUUUCAUUGGAUGUUUUUUUUCCAAAGAGAGGUUUCUCUGCGUGCUUGAGGUAUAAUGCAAGUACGGUCGUUUUAGGUUUUACCAACUGCGGCUAAUCUUUUUUUAUACUGAGCGUAUUGGAACGUUAUCGAUAAGAAGAGAGCGUCUAGGCGAACAAUGUUCUUAAAGUUUGACCUCAAAUCAGGUAGGAGUACCCGCUGAACUUAAGCAUAUCAAUAAGCGGAGGAA
Molecule: ribosomal RNA, 881 nt
Filed under: uncultured fungus
Lineage: Eukaryota; Fungi
Description: eukaryotic LSU rRNA
Rfam family: 5.8S ribosomal RNA (bases 432-585)
Source: RNAcentral